This is a long non-coding RNA of Cucumis melo (muskmelon), 712 nucleotides long. RefSeq lists it as uncharacterized. Lineage: Eukaryota; Viridiplantae; Streptophyta; Magnoliopsida; Cucurbitales; Cucurbitaceae. The transcript has 3 exons. The record is from RefSeq and is a predicted model, not a curated record.
ACUCUACGCCCUACUCUCAAAACACUAUUCCAUUGCUCCUCAACUCCAUGUACUCCACCUAUCUCCUUCGUACUCCACCUAGGUGUGCAUCAAACCAAGUCCACCUCUCUCCUUCAGACUCCACCUCUUUGUGCCGUACUCCACCUCUCGCCUUCGUACUCCACGUCGUCCUCCGCGGCACCCGAUCCCGGUAAGUUCGGAACUCCCGACCUGCGCAACCGUCUCCUUGUCGAGCAUUAAACCAAGUCGUUCAGCGGUAGAAUGGAAAAACCCUACCGAUUUGAAUUCAACAGUCUUGGCCACUGCUAGGACCGUCAAGGACGUCUCUCCUCAGGAGUUUGUUAAAGCUAUGCCGCUCAUCUCAAGUGAUUCGGAAAGGACUUCCGAACUUGAAAAAAUGUAGAAGCCUCUGUGGAGGGUAAUCAAGAUAUGGGGGUGGGGAUUUAGUAAAAGAAAGAGGCAGAGGUAGAGGUAAGGGUAGAAGGAAGCUGGCGAAUGAUAAGAGGUGAUUGUGGCGAGCCAUAAGGAUCAUUUUUUCUUCCGCUUUAUGUCAUUUAAUUUGAUGCACUUUCUAUUUUAUUUUAUUUAUUUUUCUUUAAAAACUAGAUAGGCCCGAGUUAAGAUUUUAUUUAAUUUUAUUUUUACAUACAUUUGUUAUGAUUUUAAUGAGUAUUGGAGGUUUUGUUUUAUAUUUUAUUUCUCUUUUAAUAAA